CCUACGGGUGGCAGCAGUGGGGAAUAUUGCACAAUGGGGGAAACCCUGAUGCAGCGACGCCGCGUGAGUGAAGAAGUAAUUCGGGAUGUAAAGCUCUAUCAGCAGGGAAGAAAAUGACGGUACCUGAGUAAGAAGCCACGGCUAACGACGUGCCAGCAGCCGCGGUAAUACGUAGGGGGCAAGCGUUAUCCGGAUUUACUGGGUGGAAAGGGAGCGUAGACGGCAGUGCAAGUCUGGAGUGCAAGGCGGGGGCUCAACCCCCGGACUGCUCUGGAAACUGUACGGCUGGAGUGCAGGAGAGGUAAGUGGAAUUCCUAGUGUAGCGGUGAAAUGCGUAGAUAUUAGGAGGAACACCAGUGGCGAAGGCGGCUUACUGGACUGUAACUGACGUUGAGGCUCGAAAGCGUGGGGAGCAAACAGGAUUAGAUACCCGUGUAGUC
RNAcentral lists this ribosomal RNA (440 nucleotides) under uncultured bacterium. RNAcentral's name for it is "partial 16S ribosomal RNA". It matches the Rfam family "Bacterial small subunit ribosomal RNA", at positions 338 to 795 of the family's 1533-position model. The record is from RNAcentral.